This 475-nucleotide ribosomal RNA is filed under the name uncultured Gemmata sp. RNAcentral describes it as "bacterial SSU rRNA". It matches the Rfam family "Bacterial small subunit ribosomal RNA", at positions 923 to 1382 of the family's 1533-position model. Lineage: Bacteria; Pseudomonadati; Planctomycetota; Planctomycetia; Gemmatales; Gemmataceae. The record is from RNAcentral.
ACACAAGCGGUGGAGCAUGUGGCUUAAUUCGAGGCUACGCGAAGAACCUUAUCCUGGACUGACAUGUUCGAAAGAGACAGCAGGUAGAAGACCGGAAACGGUAACGAACGGUAUCCAACCCGGAAGCUGUCACAGGUGCUGCAUGGCUGUCGUCAGCUCGUGUCGUGAGAUGUCGGGUUAAGUCCCAUAACGAGCGAAACCCUUACCUUUAGUUGCUACCGAAAGGGCACUCUAGAGGGACUGCCGGUGUUAAACCGGAGGAAGGUGGGGAUGACGUCAAGUCCUCAUGGCCUUUAUGUCCAGGGCUGCACACGUGCUACAAUGGCGUGAACAAAGUGACGCGACUUUGCGAAAAGAAGCAAAUCACAUAAAUCACGCCCCAGUUCAGAUCGAAGGCUGCAACUCGCCUUCGUGAAGCCGGAAUCGCUAGUAAUCGCGGGUCAGCAACACCGCGGUGAAUGUGUUCCUGAGCCUU